Pteropus vampyrus (large flying fox) is the source of this 123-nucleotide ribosomal RNA. The record is from Ensembl. Lineage: Eukaryota; Metazoa; Chordata; Mammalia; Chiroptera; Pteropodidae.
GCCUUAGGCAUUAACAGUUUUCCUGCUCAAGAAAUUCCACUACUGAUCUUGGAAGCUAAGCAGGGUCAUGCCUGGUAAGUACUUGGAUGGGAGACCACCUAGGAAGACCAGGUGCUGUAGGCA